Non-coding RNA from Cinara cedri, 269 nucleotides. Lineage: Eukaryota; Metazoa; Arthropoda; Insecta; Hemiptera; Aphididae. The record is from the annotation of a GenBank genome assembly.
AUUUUACUCUAGAAUAAUACAGUGAAACCUCCUUAUACCCCUUAUAGGGGGCCGGUAUUAAAUGAAAAACAACAACAGUUCUGCAUAACCUAUAUCCCCUAUAUAUCGGUUUCCCUAGAACGGAAAUUCCUUUAUAACGGAAAAAUCAAUCGUCACCAAGCGAUUUCGUUAUAAAGAGGUUUUACUGUACAUUAAUUCAAAUAUAAUAUGACACGGUAUAAUUGAGAAUAGAAAAUAGGAUCAUAUUAUAAUUAUUUUUAAUCUAAAAA